Molecule: non-coding RNA, 14526 nt
Organism: Podarcis lilfordi (Lilford's wall lizard)
Lineage: Eukaryota; Metazoa; Chordata; Lepidosauria; Squamata; Lacertidae
Source: the annotation of a GenBank genome assembly
CAAGAACAAACAUUGGCUACAUUUUGUUGUUUGUUGGGUUUGGAUAAACUCUAAGGCAAGGAUCAUGGUUGGGUUCCUCCCAACACAAGCUGGAAAGCAUGGGGCAGAGUGGCAUUUGGUGCGGAUAAGGAACUGCAGACAGAAAGGAAAUCAACAGUCUCCUUAGGCUUGAGCAUGAGCGUCCAUGCAUCCUUGAUGUAUGCGUUUAUUGCCUGGUAUGUAUGGUAAUGCACCUAAAUGUUUGCAGCAUCAGGAUCUAUUCCGAUAGAUAGUAUACUAUAAAAAUAAUGUUGCAAAGUUAAAUAGUAAACUAGCCUGUAUGAUUUUUGCAUUCUCCUAGGAAGCAAGGAAUCCCUUGCUGCCAUAGACAAAGCAAAGUUUGGCACAAGGAUGUCAAGGCAGUUCAUAUUGCUUUGAAUAGGUUUUCAUGCUAGUGAUAUACAAAAAUGCAACCUAGUGUUGUUGUUUUAAAAGCAACCAUGUUGUUGGCCCUGGAUACCACUAGGAUGCCAGUGUAAUUAACUGGCAGAGUCAGGUAGUUAUUACUUUGGGGAGGGGGGAGCAAGCAGCUAAAAGACCAACAAUAAAACAAUUCUAAAAGACCAACAAUAAAACAAUUCUUUAAAUACAUUAAUAGCAGAAGGCUGACUAGGGAGGGGGCCGGAUCCUCUAAUGGAAAGGAAGUCAAAGGUAUGCUAAAGAAGAAUAAGGAGAUUGUGGAGAAGCUGAAUGAAUCCUUUGCAUGUGCCUUCACAACGGAAGAUAUAGCACAGAUCCCAGUGUCUGAACUAACUUUUGCAGGAAGGGAGUCUGAGCAACUGAGGGAAAUUGUGGUGACAAGAGAUGAUGUUCUCGGCCUAAUAGACAAAAUUAAAAAUCACCAAACACCAGAUCCAGAUGGCAUCCAUUCUUUAAAAACUCAAAUUUGAAAUUGCUCAUUUUCUAAUGAAAAUAUGUAAUCUGUCCUCAAGAUCAGUCUGUAUAGCUGAGAACUGGCCAAUGUAACACCAAUUAAUAAAAAGGGGAUCCAGAGGAGAUAUGGGAAAUUUAAGAGCAGCUAACUUAACAUCUCUUCUGGGAAAUCAUAGAAAGCAUUACAAAAGAUAAAAUUAUCAAGGCAUGUUCAAGAAGAACAAGUCUUGCUGAAGCAGGGCCAGCAUGGUUUCUGCAAGCGCAAGUCCUUUCUCACUGACCUAUUAAGUGUUUCUUUGAGAGUUUCAAGAAGCAUAUAGACUAGUUGCCGGAAACCACAGAAGGGUAGAGUGCUCUGGCAGUCAAAUCCUGCUUGCUCAUUUCCCACAAGUAUCUGGUUGGCUACUGUGAGAACAGGAUGAUGGACUAGAUGGGCCACUGGCUUGAUCCAGCAGGAUCGUCUUACGUUCUUAUGUUCUGUUCCUUGUUAACAAAGGGAUUAGAGAUUUUUGCUUUUCAGCCACAAUGUUUCUGUGCAAUGGCAUGAUGUGUUUGUGGGGUUUCUACUUGGGCUCAGUUCUCCAAGAAUUGACAGUGUUCCUGUUCUUGCUUCCAAAAAAUAAGGGAAUGGGCUGAUUUACAGUCCAGAGGUCUGGUAAGUGGAAAUGCAUGGGGCCUUGUCUGCUGUGAAAUAUGCCACUGCCCACAGCUUCCAUCACUCUUAUCACAAGCCUCAUAAGCUUCAUUAGUGCUGGGACACUGCUACCAUUCAUCAUUUCAACUUGUUCCUGCCACUCUCACAGAAAGGAUUAUUUUUGUCUUGAGAUGGGAUUACGAUAUAAAAUGUAAGUCUAAAUUCAAAAGGCCCAAUUAGUUGGAACAAGACUUACAGUGAAAUCCUGUGUAUGUUUACUCUGAAGAAAGUCUCAUUGCAUUUAAUGGGACUUACUCCCAGAUAAGCAUGUAUAAGACUUUCCUUAUACAUAAGUUCUGGAAGCCUUCUCCAUUGCUGCAAUUAUGUAGGCUCCACACAUCACAAGGUUGCACCUGUGUUUACCAUCCAGUUCCCAUAUACAACAUGACACAUGAGAACCUCAUAGAUGCAUGUGCGUGCAUCUUUAAAAAAUAUUAUUAUUCCAAAUGUUUGCAGGCUGUUAAGGGGGAAGAAACUUCUGCCUCUUCGGUCUCUUAUUUGUAUAAAGAAUUGCAUUGUACCAUAUUCAGACAAAUGAGCCUGCCUUUGAUUAUCCCUUGGAUAAAUGCGUUUGGUGAGUUAGCUUUUCCACAAUGGCUAUAAAUCAUAUUUUUUAAUGCUAUAAAUCUUUAAGCAACCUGUGUUUGUGUAUAUAAUUGGGAUUGGAUUCUGAGCUGCGUAUACUAGCGGUGUGGCAUCAGCUCUGUGUGUUUAUAUGAAUUACGUGAGGUGAUCCAUGUUAACAAGGCGUGUCAAGGUGGAUCAGGGAGUUCCCGAACUUCUGAGAGACUCUGCUGCCUUUUCCUUCUUUUUUGUACAUAAAGUCAAACUCUCAGCUCCCUAUCCACUGCCUUACUUUGCUUUCCCGAGAAAUGAAAUGAAGCUGACUAGGGAAAUGUCAAGCAGUCAAGAAAGAAAAAGUUGGGUCAUUUGUUUUGACAAGCAGGUCUACCUUUUAAUCACAGUGAAUUAUUCUCCCAGUGAACUCCAAUCAAAGUUAUUUAGGGGAGGGAUGCUGAAGGAAACACACAGAUCCUCCUCCUUAUAAUUUUGGCUGGGAAAGCAGAACAAAAGUUGUUGGGUUAAACUAUGGGGGUGAUCUGCUUUUCCCCCAAUCAUUCUUUUUCUCUCUCUUACAAACAGAUUCCUAGCACUUUGUUUUUUCUUCAUGGAGGGUACUUCCAGGAAGAGUGAUGAGAAAAAACCCCUAACUUUUCAGGGAUUUUUUUACUGCAAAGGUGAAAUCACUGAGCACAAUAGCCAGUGGACCUAUUUCUCCAGACUUGUGUGGCUUUGGUACCAAGGCACCAUGUAUGAAUGUUCCCUCAUGUCCCCAGUUUUCAAAAUGAUUGCCCAAAACAAUGUGAGAGAGGGAAUGUGUCUGCUCUUUUCUCGUCCUCAAAUGGUAAAAGUCUGCCCUUGCAGGGAAAUCGCUGCCACAUAUUUUUCUGAAAUUUGGCAGGCUUCAUUCCUUCAGAGAGCAUCCAAUUCUGGCAGAAAAUAGAAGAGGUUAAGUCUUUUUUUAAAAUACAAAACAAAACACCAACACAUAAAUGCCUUGAUAAAUUUGUUUGAAAUUUGGCUGGCACAAUCCACUCAGGAAGGGUUCCUUUGCAAGCAAAUGUCAACCACUUAUGUGUAAAGAGGGAAAAGUUAUAGCCUUUUUAAGAUUCCACAUUAUAGCCAACAGGGCCAAAAUAGAGUUUUGGAUUUAACCAAUCUGACUGGGACCCAAAUAACAAAUCAAAUUGGAAUGACACAGAGCAGAUUUGAAACAGAUUGGGCUGUAGAACCGCUCCAGGUAUAGGGCGGUAUAUAAAUCCAGUAAAUAAUAAUAAAUAAUAGAACACUACAGAUACAAGGCUAAUAGUGUGAUUGCUGCACACACCUAGCAUGUGCAUGCAUAUGAGACUAGUAACACCAGCAUUUCCUGCAGCAACUAUGAUUUGUGAAUAUGACCUCAGUAACGUGAAGUGUGGAGCUGCUCUUGCAAUAAAGAAAGCUGCUCAAAAGGUAUUCCAAGCAGGUUAAAACAGGUCUCGUAGCCACCGGCAAUCAUACGCAAUGCCCUAUCCUGAGUUCCUAUUAAUAUAUGUGGGAAUUCACAGAACAUUUCCCUCUGUUGUUCUUUAAACUGCCUGAGGGCUGAACAUUAUUGCAGUAGAUCUGUGGUUGGCUGUCCAGGUGCUUUUCCUUCAUUAAAGAAAAGAAGAUGCCACGUGGGGAUGGGCUGCCAAUUUGUCUGGAGCACAUAACGGUCCUGAUAAUUUUGAUAGGCUUCCCUUUAUGUGGGACAUGAUUAGAGCUCCCUGUUCUCUCCCCCCCCCUUUUUUUUAAUGAAAUGUAGUUGUAGAGCAACACUGCCAAUUUGUUGAGAGCAGCAGGUUCAAUACUUCCCCCCCUGAAGUUUUCCCACUCAAAAAUCCUCCCCCUCCGGUGGGUGUAUGAACUCAACAGUUCUUAGUUUAUCUUUUGGUUGCUAUUUUGUUGAUGUUGUUAAUACUGUUCUAUAGAUUGUAAAUGCUGUGUUGACUCGUUAAUCAUAUGGCAUGACUUUUGCUUUAAUUGUGAUUGUGACAUUCAGCUUAUUUUUUUAGUUGUUGCUUUGUUAACAGAGUUUUAUAAAUUGCAAUUGUUUCACUGAUGAUCUGUUACUCUAUAUGCUUUAUGCUGUAUUUGUGAUGUUCCAUUUUCUUAUUAUUAUUUAUUGUUUGUAAGCCACUUUGGGACUCAUUUGAAUGAAAAAGGGGCAUAGAAAUAUUAAAAAUCAGAUCAGUUAAAGCAAUCAAUGGUAAGCUACCUUAAAUCUUUUUGUGACCUGUACCAUCUUUCCCCUACAUACCAUCCUUUCAUUUCCUUACAUAGUAUCAGAUUUGCUGUCCUUUGUCUUAACUAUGCUAUUUUCCAGCAACAAAGAUCCCUGCAUGCUUGUCCCUUCCAUUAACUGCUAUAGCAAAGUCCCAUCUUUACAAAUUAGCCACCUAAGGUCGCCUAACUCCAAGGUCAAUUCUAGCCCUGACAGCAACCAACUCAUAAUAGCAUAAUGAAUAGUACUUUGUGUUUAUGCACACCCAAAAAAUGUACCGUAAUUAUAAAUACAAUGCUAUGGUGUGCAACUCUAAAACAUUCUUCUGUACUCCACACACCCCUUCAAGAGCCAAAGCUAGGGUAAUUGGUUGUCUUUUACAAGUUGCUAUCACUCCUAAGAAUAAAAUCCAUAAAAUAAUCCUAGAUGAGAUCUCCUCUAUAUAAUUCCAGGUAAUGUUUUCUGUCCUGCCAGUGACAUUUUCCUGGAUAGUGGCUGCUUUCAUGGGCAAGACCUUCUUAAAAUCAAGCACAUUCAUUAUCUAUCCUGGCAGCUGAAAGAUACAGAGCUGUACAAACCUUCCAGAAAAGCACUUCAUGCCCUCUCAUUACUUCAGGAAAACCCACUAUCAGAUAAGAUUUAAUGUGUGUGCUGAAAAAUAUUGAUUUUCAUUUAGGGCCACCUGGAUAAUAUUUUUCCUGGAUAAUAUUUUUAAUAGGUCACUGCUGAACUGAAACAUCCCCCCCCCUUUCCUUUUAAACAAAAAAGUCAGUGGACAACUGGGCAGCCUUACUGCUAUGAAAUGAAAGGAAGCCAUGUUUUGCUCCUGAAGUGCAGAACAACACAUCAGUAUACAGAAUUUGCAAGAUUUUACCUCCCUCUCCAAUCAGAGAGUAGAUUCAUACCUAUGUACGACAACCAAGUACAAAAUGCUUAUGGCCCAUGUCAGAAGUGAGGGGCACAUUAUGUAUUAGGAGGGCUUGGCACAAAUACAGGCCUAAUCUUUUCCCACUUGACAACUUGUGCUUGUUAAAGAGAGAAGUGCCAUGAAAAAAACAUAUGCAUGCAGAGCUGACCUCAAACAUUUGGCCAUCUGAGGUAAAGGACAAGAUAGUGCCAGCCAUUCUGUGUACAGAAGACAACAUGAUUGGCAGUUCAAUAUUACUUCAGUGCUGGUGACAGGAUCUUGUCCAUACAGGCUAUGGUGUUUUUUUGGGUGAGGAGGGUGCUACAUGGUGCACUCAGCUCUGAUCUCUAACAGAACAGAAUGAGUGGUGAUUCAGGAUGAAUGGCUACAGGGCUGUCCCUGGCAUAUAUUCUACCUGAGGUAAUUACCUCACUCUGCCUAAUGGUAGGGCUAGCCCUGCAUGUAUAUCCUUUGCAGCAACCUCAGCUAUGCAUGCGCCUCAUGAAAGGUUAAGGAACAGAGAACACUUCUGUUCCUUUUCAAUAGGAAUCCAGAGGACUGAAUCCAUGUUGCAGAACUUGUCUGAGCAAUGUCGAACAAAAAAAAUAAAUAAAAGCUAGCCUGCCUGCUCAAUAUAUCCACUGGUGCUGAAAACAAUUAUAUACUUCAGGCCUACUGGCUGGCUCUGAACUUAUGGCAGUCCCACAUCUCACAUGGCAAAUGCAUGUGGUGCAUACAGUAUGGGCUGUCAUCUCCCUCAGCAAACAGGUUUGUAGUACACAGCAAGGUCUUCCAGCUGUAAAACACCAAACUGACUUGGUAAUAUCUCCUGGAAAGCCAGAUAGCAUGACGGCACAGAGUCCAUGAAGAAAAGCAGGGAACCUUCAAGCAUUCUGGCCCAAUCCCUGUUAGAAUUACUCUACUGCCAUCUGCACUGGGAAAAGAUCAGAACAGUAGGCUAGACCGACCAUCAGGCUAACUGCUGCAAGGAUGCUUCUUCCUCUCACGCCUCCAAGGAAGCGUAGAUGGCAAUGAUGAAACUGACAAGUUGGGGAGGAGAUGUGGUGGAUAUUGAACAAGAGAUGGGUGUUUAGCAGCAACUGUUUGAGUUCCAGAAGCCUCCUUUGAUUUAAAACCACUAUUACAUCAAUAUUUAAAAUGCUUUGGGAUCCAUGUUUACCUGACACAGGGAAAGCAGACUGGCACCAACAAUUUUGGUUGCAGGCAGACAUUUUUCUAUUUCCUGGGGCAUCUGAACAGCACCAGUGAUAUGAUAUUGUAUGGUUAAAUCUAUUUCAAAUAAUGCUCUUGUAAUACACACGCACGCACACGCACACACACAAUCUUUGGUUGUAAAUCAGUUUUGGAACUUCUGGAGAGGGAGUGAUAUAUAAAUCGAACAAACCUAAUUUGACUGGCAGUCAACAAUUUAUAAAAUGAGAACAUCAAUCAAUCAGAAUUUGUGACAGGGUGGCUUAAAGAAAUGUCAUACUGUCCUUCACCCCAACAUGCAAAUAAUAUUAUGUUCCAUUUAUGUUCUCACUGCAGCCUGCGAACGUAACUGUUCUUUUAAAAAUGCACUCAUUUCCAGUUUCGCUUUAGCUAACACACAGUCAUCAAACAAGCCUCACACAGCCGUCAAACAAUCAUUAAAUCUCUAGUACUUACAAACAUGAGGCGUGUAGGUAUGUUGUCAGAUUCAACCAAAGGGUUUUUAUAGAGCCAGAUCUCUUCUGGCUGAAUUACUCUCUGGAAUGGAUCCAAAAAUUCUGUAAAACUAAACAAAACAAUAAAAGAACACAUUGUUUCACCAUGUACCUGGAGCAAGAGACCUCAAAAAGUAUAUCACGGGAGAUUCCCGCUUGCCAUAAUGAAAGAGAGACAUUGUUUAAUCAAGCGCAAGCAAAUACAAGGCAGAAAAUGUUUGUUUAUCUCCCUUCUUACCCUUACCCAUCUCUAGAGUCCAGGGUGAAUUCUAUAUUACAAUAUGCAAACAAAGACAUAGCAAAAUAAAACCAGACUAAGAAAACAGAAUACAUAUUAUGAGUUGUAUCCAAUGAAGCUGUUGCACUUGUGCAAUGGAACGUCCCCUCCUACCCCCAGCAACCUCUCAUUGUACACCCUCAAAAUGGGUUAUGGGAUUCUCCAGAGCAGAUUUUUACAGUUCGCCAGAAAAGUAGAAGAAGGGGAAGCCAUGUUACAUGAAUGGUACUCCACUCACUGCUUUAUAUCUCCAGUUCCUUAUACCAUACAAGCUGGAGUUUUCCUCACACCACUGUUGUCCAAAAUGAAAAGGUUUCAGCAGCAUGAAGAAAAAAACCUAAGUUACGUGGUAAACUUACAAAGCAGUGGCAGACAGUAUUUGGAGCAAUGAGUCAGAGACAAAAUGCCUGAAGUAUUUUAUUGUUGCCCAACACACUCUGGAAAAUAACAAACUUCCUCACCAGCAACCUGCAAAAAUAUAGUACUCUAGCUUCCUUCUUUGCCAAACUAUUAAGGAGGAUUGUCCCAUUGAAGAAAUCUCUUGCUUCCAAAAUUUGUGGGGCAGCAAUAUAAUAUUUUGGACCUUUUCCUCCACUUGUUUCCCCUUUGUUUGGCCUUAGAGAGUACAGUUGUGCCUCAGAAGUUGAACGGAAUCGGUUUUGGAAGUCCAUUCGACUUCCAAAACAUUUGGAAACCAAAAUGUGGCUUCCCAUUGGCUGCAGGAAGCUCCUACAGCCAAUCGGAAGCCACAAAAGCCCCAUCAGAUGUUCGGCUUACAAAAGAACGUUCGAAAACCGAACACUCACUUCUGGUUUUUGGUCGUUCGGGAGCCGGAACGUUCGACUCCCAAGGCAUUCGGGAACCAAGGUACUACUGUACUUGGAACUACCUGAAAAGCUUCCACAGGGCAACCAUAAUAUGUAAACUGACCCCCAAGAGGCACACAUCUAUCAAAGCUGCCACAAAUGGCCACACAUAGAAACACAGGAGCCUGGCUUAGGUUGAGUCAGACCACUGGUCCAUCUAGCCCAGUCAUUGUCUACAUUUACAAUGGCUCUGCAGGGUUUUAGGCAAGGCUCUGGCCAAUCUAGAGAUGCUGGCAAUGGAUUCUCUGCCACGCAGCCACAGCCCUUCACACUCAUGAAUCUCAGAUCUGCAAACCAAUGGCGUGUGCAGCAACAGUGGGUGUGGCCCAACAGACACAAUUCUUCAUUCUCUAUCCAAGCAAUCAAGAGCUAUUAUCACAGAUCAGGGACACAGUCUAGUCAGGUUAAAUAAUUAGAGGAGGCUCCUGGGCCAAAGGGGACUGUAGCCUGGAGUGGUAUAGCCUGGACUGAAUUCUAUAAAUCCCUGGAAAGCUACGUUCACCCUCUGGGGCUGAGAUUCCCCACCUGUGAUCUCUUCGUUCCUUCCCACCUCCCAGUCUUGCAUUGGAUGGGUGAAAAACCUAUUAAAAGAUGUGUUCAGAAGCGUUUUUGAGCAGGCUGGCCUGCACAGCCUGUGGCCCAGCAAGCCAACGUGACCCAAAGACUCAUUCAAAAUACUGGGUUUGCUACCUUUCUGGGAAUGCAAAAGCAAAGGGUGAGGCGUUGUCAUGCAUCUGACAUGCUCGAAUGCAUGCUGCAUUUGGCAUGCCAGCUCACCAGUUUCUUCAGGCCUGCGUUACCUUUUGUUUUAUAAAGAAAAAGUAAAUGUAGUCACAGCAACAAAAUCCACUGCAUUUAAAUACUGUCAGAUUGCUGCCUUCUACAUUUCCUCUUCUGUCUAUGUAAAAUGUUCAAAUUAUGUCUUUCAGCCAUAUGCGGGGGAGGGAGGGAACAGGCAAAUUAACCUGAUGAAAGCGAACAAUAAUCAACUAGAGUCACAACAGAAAAAGAAACUCCUGCUGAAGACUUGGCUGCAAAUCCAAAAAACAAAACAGCACCGCUCCCCCUCCUGUCAAAAGACCAGAUGUAUUUCAUGCUGUUUGUCAACACUUGUGCAUAUAUGAACUCAGUAGUACAGUGGCUCCUAAACUCUACAGACCAAUUAUUGGAGGUCUCGGCAGACCACUUUUUUGCCUCUUUUUUAGCAUUUGUAGUGCACGGUGCUAGAUACCGAAGUCAUCACUGGAGGCCUGAAUGAAGCUUGUGGGCCCCUGGUGGUCAAUGGACCUCAUUUUGGGAACCUCUGCUGUAGUGUACGAAUUAUAUUAGUGGGCCUUCUCAGUACUAUCACCUAUCCUGCAAUCCCUGCCCCCCCUCCUCAGCAAAGGGCUGUUCGGAAGGUGCAAACUUGGCUCAUAACAUACAUUGCACUCCUCUGUUUUAUUGAUGCUGUUGAUGGAUUCUUUGUUUUUACUGAUGUAUUUCUUUGUAUUUUAAACUAUAAUGUGUGUGUGCGUGCACGCCAUUUACUCUACUUUUUCUUGUCACUGGAAGGGGGAGGAGCUCUGGAAGUCCUAUAGUGAAACCCUUAGUACAACAAACACCCUCUGCCAAACACUUCACAGGGAUCGAAAGUCUAUGGCAAUAGCUAAAUCACAGUAUUAAUUAAUGAUGUAGCAACCUUGUAGAUGUGGCUGGAACUUUGGGCUUAAUCACAUCUCCAUUUGCCCAGUCACUUUUCCCCAGAAAAACCCAUCAUUUAGCACUGAAUCGGAACCAAUAGCAAUCACAUUUUCCACAAAAUUGCCUUUUGUUCUGAUUUAGUGCUAAAGGGCGGGGUUUUCCUGGGACAAGCCAAAACUGGUGGAAAUGUGAACAAGCCCUAAGCAAGAGAGAGUCAGGAGUGCAGACAGCAGUUUCCAGAAGACAUUUCCAAAGCAGCCAUCAAAUUGUGAAACCCAAAUAAUGGGUUUGGCAAAGUCAGUUGUUAUUGCAUCUGCAGGAUCAGUGAAGAGGAACAUAUCUUUGAGUAUGUGCUAAGUUGCUGAUAGUACAGUGGUACCUCGGGUUAUAUAUGCUUCAGGUUACAUACGCUUCAAGUUACAGAAAUAGUUACAGAAAUAGCUAACCCAGAAAUAGUAGCUUGGGUUAAGAACUUUGCUUCAGGAUGAGAACAGAAAUCGUGCUCCGGCAACGCAGUGGCAGCUGGAGGCCCCAUUAGCUAAAGUGGUGCUUCAGGUUAAGAACAGUUUCAGGUUAAGUACAGACCUCCGGAACGAAUUAAGUACUUAACCCGAGGUACCACUGUAUAGGUGAAUAUUUGUUGUUGGGCAGGUUUUAUUUCCUUUGCACCAGGCUCCAGUUGGUGGAUCUUGGGAUUCCAGUAAAAAAAAAAAAAAGAGUUUUCAUAAGUUUGAAGGGUCUCUUGCCUCUCCUCAUUAACACACACACACACACACACACACACACACACACACACCAGAGUUCCUUCAGGAAAGUUCAAACAAAGAUUAGUCCCAAAGACAUACCGGAAAAUAUUUCACCAGACUUUCACAAAGGAAAGCCUGGCCUUUUUUCUUUUUUUCAGUGAAAAUAGGAAGGUCUUUGUAUUUCAUCCAGAAUCUCCAAUCCAGAAUACCAUAUGUAGGCUUCCAGCUAUAUAUCAGUCAUCAGAAACAAAAUACUUACCCUGGUGUUCUUUCUUUUUGCCCUUUUCUGUACAGUUUGGCAUAGAAAUGUGUAUUUGCUGAAGGCUAUGAGCAAACAUUUCAAAUCUAAAGCUAUGAUACAGGUGCCAAUAAGCCAAUGGAACAAUAUUUGCAGACUUUUAGUGCUUUUUAAUAAGACUUUCCCAGAGAACAGAGUUUUCAGUUUUCAUGGGAAGUCAAGAUUGCCACAUUUUAUAAAAAUUGGUUUGGGUUUCUGUGCUUUUUAUUUUAUGCUUUGCUGGAGGACCCAACAUGAAAGGUUUUAGACUCAGACCAUAGUUAAGGGACAGGCUUGGCUAAGUUUGUUAGAUGAACCAGUGAGGACAGAUAUCUGAUUUCUUCCGUAUAAUUGAUGUUUCAAUUAUUUAACAAUCAGAAGGUAGAUUUAGCAUUUAUUUCAUCAUAUUCAUGUUAGCUAGUUAACACACUGCACCCAGCCUCAGUCUCCAUCUGCCUGAGGCUGCACCUUCUUACAUAAACCUCCCAGAGAGUUUACCUCCAAAAUAUAGCAAGCCUCUCGAAAGGAUAUCACCACAAAUUAAACUUGAGAACGUUCUAGAGGACAGGUCUCUCAAACCUUCCUUCCUCCCACAGCCACCUGCAAAGUGAGGCCAUCUGUGAGAGGAUGCACAGCAAGGCUAACUGAGGAAGAUGAUCUUAACAGGAGAGACUCUAAAGGAUGGGAAUGAACAUGUUUGCAGGUAUCGAGCCUAGAUAUCAAAUUUGGAAGUAGAAGGGACUCCAGUGUAGAGAGAAGAGCUCCAUUUUGAGAGACACCCUUUGGUAUGAAUGAAGGAGCCAUGAUGGGCCUCCAGAUGCCCCUGGACUUAUCAGCCCUGGCCAGCAUAGCCAAAUGCCAAGGAUGAUGGGAAAUGGAGUCCCAUUCUCAGCAUGACCAAUUGCCAAGUUGUAGUCCACAUACCCCAGGAAAACCACAGCUUCCCCAUUCCUGACAUAAGGAAAAGGAGGAAUAGAGGUUCCACUCUUGAAAGAUGUGGAGCAAGCCUUCUUUACUAAAUAAUAAUGAUGCAUGUAUUGUAGAUUACUUCCAAAUAUAAUCUGGGGUAAAGGUAAAAGUCCGCUGGAUGGUUAAGUCCAGUCAAAAGCAGUCGCGGUGGGGUGCGGUGCUCAUCUCGCUUCAGGAUGAGGGAGCUGGCAUUUGUCCACAGACAGAUUCCUGGGUCAUGUGGCCAGCAUGACUAAACUGCUUCUGGCGCAUGGAACACCAUGACGGAAGCCAGAGCGCAUGGAAAUGCUGUUUACCUUCCCGCUGCAGCAGUACCUGUUUAGCUACUUGCACUGCUGUGCUUUCGAACUGCUAGGUUGGCAGGCGCUGGGACAGAGCAACGGGAGCUCACUCCAUUGUGGGGAUUCGAACUGCUGACAUUCUGAUCAGCAAGCCCAAGAAGCUCAGUGGUUUAGACCACAGCGCCACCCGCAUCCUAAUCUGGGGUACACUACUUAGAGAUUUUUUAAAGUAUUAAGCAGUUCAUUUAAAUGCUUUUCAAUAAAUUGAAUAAAUACAUUACCAACAAUUCCCUCCUUUUAUUUCACUACUUAAACCUCACCUUUCAUGCCUUGAAAAUAACCACCAUAAACGUUAAGGAACCUUUGCAUCACAAAAGAAACUUUAUGUCACCUUCAUGCAUAUUUAAAAUACCACUUAAAAAAACCGGUUUUUGAACCUCUUUCUAGUUCCUCUGCAAAUAAAUGACCGAUAUGAAAUUCCUUACUGCAGCUUUGAUGAAAAGCCAACCCAAAAGGAGGCCAGAAGCUGAUAGUCAGGGGCAUUGGUGAGGCAAGAUAAGUACAAAUGCCGGUGUUUAUCACUGUCAUCCUGUUUACCACAUGGAAGUUGGAGGAAUUCUAUUAAACAGAACAAAAUGUUGCUGACCAGUUGUGCUGCUCAAAUAAACUGCUUUUAUUUGAGCGCAAAGACUCCCCAGAGCAGGGAGGCUGUUUUCAGGACAGUUGCAAUUCAUUAGUCUGAAGGGUGCAAUAAAAUAAACAGAAUGCUAUUACCAAAAUAUUAAGCUGGCAUUGACAAUGUCCCCCACUUCUACAGGGCAACAUUCUGCCUUCUUCGCUGAAUAUAUAAAGACUGCAACAGAUUCAAUGGAGCAGAGAGUAUGGACCAGCUUCAGAAGCCCAUAGGAUGAAUGCUGAACGAACCACUGUGAUGGCUACUAACCCUUAUGGCUUCAGUCUUCCUCUGUGCUGGUUGCUGGGAACAAUAACAGCGGAGAUGAUGCUGAGCUCAGGGUGCUGCUUGUGGAUCUCACUGGCCUCUGGCCGGCCACUGCGGAAAAAGGAUGCUGGACUAGAUGGGCCACUGGCCUGAUCCAGCAGGUCUAUCCUUAUGUGAGUGCACACAUUAUGGUUUCUGUAUGUAUAGUCCCCACACAGAGGAGGCAGUUCAUAUAAAUGGCCAUAAGGUCAGAAUCUGUUUGGACAGUUCCCAAGUGAUGGGAGACACAUCACACCAAUUAUUGCUGUGGACCCCUGUUCAAAGGAUGUUUGAGGAGCUCAUGUUUUGCAAAUUCCACUAGAAGCUGUCCUGACCCACAUCUCCUGGCCUAAUGCAUGGAUAAGAAUUCAGUCAUCCAUUAGGUUUUGCUCUUCUCGGGCCAUUUCUGUUUUCAGCCGAAAGAGGCAGCAACAAGCAUUUCAAAAUCAACAUUUUGAGAUGAAAUCCUUUAAAAUGUUUAUCUUGAAGAACAAAUGUUUCCAUUUAGAUCUGAAUUUUUUCUUUGGGGUCUUCAUAAAAAGCUAAAAAAAUAAUGUGAAAACUGGAGGGAACAAACCUAUGAGUGCGCACGUGUAAAAGUGGCAUAGCUUAGGAAGAGACUGCUUUGUCCAUGCCUACCCUGCCACCUUCAUAUUUUCCUGGGGUGAGGAAUCUGUGGCUACAGGUCCUAUCGGUUCUGACCAUUGGCCACGCUGUUGCAAGUUGAAGUCCAACAUCUGGAGGGCCAGAGAUUCCUCACUCCUGAUAUAUAUCGGAAGGGUGUGAAGACAAUAGAUUUAGCAUGGGGAGAGAAAGAUGCUUGCCAGACCUGAGAGAAGAAAAAAACUAAAUUCCAGCAACACAUUCUAUUUCAGGGGUGGAAAAUUGGUGACUGACACCUUCCCUGUCCUGGCCCUUUGGCUAUUUUUGCUGGUACUGAUAGGACAAACAAGACCUGGGACUCGGAUAUAAGCUGCAAAUAAUACAUUUUAAAUGUGUUGUAAAGUGCAAGAUACAUAUAUGACACUAGUUGGCGACAGUCAGCUAUGCCAAAUUCAAUGUAUUUUUCAAAACGUUUUUUAAAAAAGAUUUUCACAGCAUUUUUUAUAUGUGCGUAGGUUCCACUCUGGAGAGCCACAGGUUUCCUACCCAUGUCCAACAUACAGCAGUAUUUGUUCUUCUGAAAAACCAUUGAAGUCUAGAAUGCAAUUAUCUAAAUAAUUAAAAGCAUCAAUAAUUAUCCUGAUUGCCCCCGCACUUCAACAAAUGUCCAUCAAGUAUACUUGUUGUGUUCAUGCACUACAAAGGCUUAUUGCAAACCGUAAGAUUUAUAGUUUGACCAGGCUGUUAACACUAUUGCAAAUCAAAUUUUGCCUCCUGUGUCGUAAAGGGGAAAUGCCGCAUGAUAAGUUUCUGAACAAAG